This is a non-coding RNA of Takifugu rubripes (torafugu), 72 nucleotides long. The record is from Rfam. NCBI's taxonomy places the organism in Eukaryota, Metazoa, Chordata, Actinopteri, Tetraodontiformes, Tetraodontidae.
AAAAUUACCCAAACACGAGCACUGACUUGGAAAUACUAAAUGCGGUAAGUGCUACUUGUUGGGGUACUUUUA